UACGGGGGGGGCAAGCGUUGUUCGGAAUUACUGGGCGUAAAGGGCUCGUAGGCGGCCAACUAAGUCAGACGUGAAAUCCCCAGGCUUAACCUGGGAACUGCGUCUGAUACUGGAUGGCUUGAAUUCGGGAGAGGGAUGCAGAAUUCCAGGUGUAGCGGUGAAAUGCGUAGAUAUCUGGAGGAAUACCGGUGGCGAAGGCGGCAUCCUGGACCGACACUGACGCUGAGGAGCGAAAGCCAGGGGAGCAAACGGG
This 253-nucleotide ribosomal RNA is filed under the name uncultured bacterium. Its description in RNAcentral is "partial 16S ribosomal RNA". It matches the Rfam family "Bacterial small subunit ribosomal RNA", at positions 524 to 776 of the family's 1533-position model. The record is from RNAcentral.